GCGAGGUGGGAGGGAUUAGACCGAUGGACCCGGAAAGGGCGGAGGAGGGAAGGCUUUAGUGUAGAAAACCAACCAAACCAAACCCAAACCAACAAAACCCUUCACCUAAAACCCGAAGCUACCCAGACCUCAGAAUUUUGGAUGUCUAUUAAGUUGGCGGGUCAGUAAUGCAAGAGAACCCUUCCACCGGAUCUGACGCACUAAGAAGGCUAGACAGUUUGAAAAGAGCCCCUAUCAAAGCAACCUGAAUUCUGCUAAAAUUGAAGCAAGAACAAACAUGGAGUUUCUGGUGAAGAAUGAUGAAAUUGAUGCCUUAUGAAAAGUUUAUGAGGACAAUGCCCCAAAUAAAUCAUCAGUCUACAAAUGCAUAACUCAUUUUAAGAAACGAGGAGAUGGACAAGCAUGGUGGCUCAUGCCUGUAAUCCCAGCACUUUGGGAGGAUUAUGCACGAGCCUCUCUCAAGCCCAGGAGUUUGAGACCAGCCUGGGCAACAUAGCGAGACCUCAUCUCACUAAAAAUUUAAAAAUUAGCCAAGUGUGGUGGUGCACACCUGUAGUUCCAGCGUCUUGGGAGGCUGAGGCAGGAGGAUUGCUUGAGCCCAGCAGUUCAAGGUUGCAGUGAGCUAUGAUUGCACCACCGUGCUGCAGCCUGGGUAACAGAGUGAGAACCUGUCUCAACAAAAAGGGGAGGAGAUGAUGUUGAAGAUACAGAUAGUGGCAGACUAUCCACAUCACUUUGUGAGGAAAAAAAUUCAUCUUGUUUGUGCCCUAAUUGAAGAGAACUGACAACAGCAGAAACAAUAGCCAACACCAUAGACAUCUCAGUUGGGUCAGUUUACACAAUUCUGACUGAAAAGUUACAGUGGAGCAAACUUUCAACUCGAUAGGUAACAAAACUGUUGUACCCAGAUCUGCUACAGUUAAGAGGAGAGCUUUCAGUGGAAAGUUUAAACAAGUGGGGUCAAGAUCCUUGAUAUGGCUUUGUGACCUCACCCAAAUCUCAUCUUGAAUUGUAAUCCCCAGCUAUUGAGGGAAAGACCUGGUGGGAGGUGAUUGGAUCAUGGGGGCAGUUUCCCCCAUGCUGUCCUCAUGAUAGUGAGGGUGUUCCCAUGAGAUCUGAUGGUUUUAUAAGUAGCAGUUUCCUGUGGGCUUUUCACUUACUGUUUUUCCUGCCACCAUGUGAAGAAGGUCUUUGCUUCCCCUUUGCCUUCCACCAUGAUUAUAAGUUUCCUGAGGCCUCCUGGGACAUGCGGAAUUGUGACUCAAUUAAACCUGUUUUCUUUAUAAAUUACCCAGUCCCCAGCAGUUCUUUAUAGAAGUGUGAAAACAGACUAAUACAAUCCUGAAGCAUUUCAUCAAAGAAUUGUAACAGGAGAUGAAAUAUGGCUUCACCAGUAUGAUCCUGAAGAAAAAGCACAAUCAAAGCAAUGUCUAUCAAGCGGAGGAAGUCAAAGCAAAGCAGACCAGUCAAGAGCAAAGGUUGGAGUGGCUCUGGUGACAACUCACUCUGUUCUCAUGGUCACAAAUCCCUGCUCACUGCUGCCACUGCUGCUGCCACCACAGACCAAGAGCUCCACUUGCACAGUGCUGCUGGCUAAGAAGAAGUUGCUGUACCUGAGCACUGGACCACAUGGACUCACAGAGACUCCCAACCAAGUAAAGGGGUGAUAUGGCUUGUGGAUGUCAACCAUAUUCUCUUCUUGAUCACCUCGCUGCUGGAACAAUGGGCCAUGGUCAGAGUAGAGUGGUCAUGGAGGUUGAAUAGAUGCCAUGAAUGGGUCCAAGAACAUGGACACUCUCUUUCACCAAAAUCAAUUCGGGUCUUGCCACUGUUAAUCACCUAACUUGCCAACAGCAGAGACUAUCGCUGAGUCUUUGAGAUGGCACUGCUCUUGGAGAGAUCAGGCAGCCAUCCAGUGAGAGGUUGACCCCUCUGCUUUGGAGGGGAUGGACAUUCAUCCUUAUCACCAUUGAUACUUGCUCUAGACAUGAGUUUUCCUUCUCUGCCUGAAAUUCCUCUGCCACUACCACCAUAUGAGGGCUUACAGAUUUCCCAAUCCAUCAACCUGCUUCUCACACACAUUAGCUCAGAGUAAAGGACUCAUUUUAUGGCAAAG
This 2116-nucleotide long non-coding RNA is filed under the name Homo sapiens (human). RNAcentral's name for it is "non-protein coding lnc-KHNYN-1:1". Lineage: Eukaryota; Metazoa; Chordata; Mammalia; Primates; Hominidae. The record is from RNAcentral.